Molecule: long non-coding RNA, 212 nt
Filed under: Vigna radiata
Lineage: Eukaryota; Viridiplantae; Streptophyta; Magnoliopsida; Fabales; Fabaceae
Description: long non-coding RNA (VRAD_LNC004826)
Source: RNAcentral
GACCCCAUUUUGAAGGUAACUCUCGGUCUUAAGGAGGAGAAUUGCCGAGACACACUUAUGCUCUCAUUACAAACACUUCAUACUUUUGGUUUUAGAACUUUUCUCUCGUAGGGUUUCAUGUAUGAACAUGCCUUAAGGGAGCUUGCUUGGUGUUGUCGGUUUGGAGCCAUUUCAAUGAACAAGAUGUAGAUUUUCUUUGUCUCUUAACUCAC